Molecule: ribosomal RNA, 250 nt
Filed under: uncultured bacterium
Lineage: Bacteria
Description: partial 16S ribosomal RNA
Rfam family: Bacterial small subunit ribosomal RNA
Source: RNAcentral
GAUGAAUGCUAGCCGUUGGGGUGCAUGCACCUCAGUGGCGCCGCUAACGCAUUAAGCAUUCCGCCUGGGGAGUACGGUCGCAAGAUUAAAACUCAAAGGAAUUGACGGGGGCCCGCACAAGCGGUGGAGCAUGUGGUUUAAUUCGACGCAACGCGCAGAACCUUACCAUCCCUUGACAUGGCAUGUUACCCUGAGAGAUCAGGCGUCCUCUUCGGAGGCGUGCACACAGGUGCUGCAUGGCUGUCGUCAG